ACGGAUACGCCAAUUCUCGUACGAUCAUGGAAGUUAAGCAACCUCGAGUCUGGUCAGUAUCUAGAUGGGUGUCCGCUUAGGAAUACCAGUUACUGUAAG
Acanthosepion pharaonis is the source of this 99-nucleotide non-coding RNA. The record is from the annotation of a GenBank genome assembly. NCBI's taxonomy places the organism in Eukaryota, Metazoa, Mollusca, Cephalopoda, Sepiida, Sepiidae.